This 291-nucleotide long non-coding RNA is filed under the name Malus domestica (apple). Its description in RNAcentral is "long non-coding RNA (MDOM_LNC010921)". Lineage: Eukaryota; Viridiplantae; Streptophyta; Magnoliopsida; Rosales; Rosaceae. The record is from RNAcentral.
AUCACGUCAUUUGAUUUAAAAUUUGACCUAAGUUGUUGAUUUGGGUACCAUUAUCCAUAAAAAAAAAAUUAUGGAACCCAGAUGCACCGAAAACGGCAUAUAAUGUGCAUAUUCUUUUGUUGCUGAUACGACUCAAAUAUAAUAGUACCUUAAACAUAUAGUCAUGAUACAUGUGAUUGGGGCGGCCCACCCGUGUCAGCUCUUGUUCAAAUUAACACUUUCCAUCCAUAGUUCUCAACGUGGGUAAAAGAUACCGUAAGUAUGACAUGAAAGAGAUUUUUAUAAGGAAAA